This 935-nucleotide ribosomal RNA is filed under the name Fibroporia radiculosa. RNAcentral describes it as "LSU rRNA". It matches the Rfam family "Eukaryotic large subunit ribosomal RNA", at positions 41 to 955 of the family's 3401-position model. Lineage: Eukaryota; Fungi; Basidiomycota; Agaricomycetes; Polyporales; Fibroporiaceae. The record is from RNAcentral.
UAUCAAUAAGCGGAGGAAAAGAAACUAACAAGGAUUCCCCUAGUAACUGCGAGUGAAGCGGGAAAAGCUCAAAUUUAAAAUCUGGCAGUCUUUGAUUGUCCGAGUUGUAGUCUGGAGAAGUGCUUUCCGCGCUGGACCGUGUACAAGUCCCUUGGAACAGGGCGUCAUAGAGGGUGAGAAUCCCGUCUUUGACACGGACUACCAGUGCUUUGUGAUGCGCUCUCAAAGAGUCGAGUUGUUUGGGAAUGCAGCUCAAAAUGGGUGGUAAAUUCCAUCUAAAGCUAAAUACAGGCGAGAGACCGAUAGCGAACAAGUACCGUGAGGGAAAGAUGAAAAGCACUUUGGAAAGAGAGUUAAACAGUACGUGAAAUUGCUGAAAGGGAAACGCUUGAAGUCAGUCGCGUCUUUCGGAAAUCAGCCUUGCAUUUAUUUGUUUGGUGUAUUUUCUGUUUGACGGGCCAACAUCGAUUUUAAUCGUUGGAUAAAGAUAAAGGAAAUGUGGCACCUUCGGGUGUGUUAUAGUCUUUUAUUGCAUACAACGGUCGGGAUCGAGGAACUCAGCACGCCUUUAUUGGUCGGGGUUCGCCCACGUUUCGUGCUUAGGAUGUUGGCAUAAUGGCUUUAAACGACCCGUCUUGAAACACGGACCAAGGAGUCUAACAUACCUGCGAGUGUUUGGGUGUUAAACCCGAGCGCGUAAUUAAAGUAAUAGUUGAGAUCCCCCUUAAAAGGGAGCAUCGACGCCCGGACUUGACCUUUUGUGAUAGCUCUGCGGUAGAGCAUGUAUGUUGGGACCCGAAAGAUGGUGAACUAUGCCUGAAUAGGGUGAAGCCAGAGGAAACUCUGGUGGAGGCUCGUAGCGAUUCUGACGUGCAAAUCGAUCGUCAAAUUUGGGUAUAGGGGCGAAAGACUAAUCGAACCAUCUAGUAGCUGGU